RNAcentral lists this ribosomal RNA (746 nucleotides) under Corynebacterium pseudotuberculosis. Its description in RNAcentral is "bacterial SSU rRNA". It matches the Rfam family "Bacterial small subunit ribosomal RNA", at positions 86 to 845 of the family's 1533-position model. Lineage: Bacteria; Bacillati; Actinomycetota; Actinomycetes; Mycobacteriales; Corynebacteriaceae. The record is from RNAcentral.
GGUGCUCGAGUGGCGAACGGGUGAGUAACACGUGGGUGAUCUGCCUCGUACUCUGGGAUAAGCCUGGGAAACUGGGUCUAAUACUGGAUAGGACCGCACUUUAGUGUGUGUGGUGGAAAGUUUUUUCGGUACGAGAUGAGCCCGCGGCCUAUCAGCUUGUUGGUGGGGUAAUGGCCUACCAAGGCGUCGACGGGUAGCCGGCCUGAGAGGGUGGACGGCCACAUUGGGACUGAGAUACGGCCCAGACUCCUACGGGAGGCAGCAGUGGGGAAUAUUGCACAAUGGGCGCAAGCCUGAUGCAGCGACGCCGCGUGAGGGAUGACGGCCUUCGGGUUGUAAACCUCUUUCGACAGGGACGAAGCUUUUUGUGACGGUACCUGUAUAAGAAGCACCGGCUAACUACGUGCCAGCAGCCGCGGUAAUACGUAGGGUGCGAGCGUUGUCCGGAAUUACUGGGCGUAAAGAGCUCGUAGGUGGUUUGUCGCGUCGUCUGUGAAAUUCCGGGGCUUAACUCCGGGCGUGCAGGCGAUACGGGCAUAACUUGAGUGCUGUAGGGGAGACUGGAAUUCCUGGUGUAGCGGUGGAAUGCGCAGAUAUCAGGAGGAACACCGAUGGCGAAGGCAGGUCUCUGGGCAGUAACUGACGCUGAGGAGCGAAAGCAUGGGGAGCGAACAGGAUUAGAUACCCUGGUAGUCCAUGCCGUAAACGGUGGGCGCUAGGUGUGAGGGUCUUCCACGACUUUCGUG